GAUGAACGCUGGCGGCGUGCUUAACACAUGCAAGUCGAACGGGAAACCUUUUAUUGCAGCUUCGGCAGAUUUAGCUGGUUUCUAGUGGCGGACGGGUGAGUAACGCGUGGGUAACCUGCCUUAUACAGGGGGAUAACAGUCAGAAAUGGCUGCUAAUACCGCAUAAGCGCACAGAGCUGCAUGGCUCAGUGUGAAAAACUCCGGUGGUAUAAGAUGGACCCGCGUUGGAUUAGCUGGUUGGUGGGGUAACGGCCCACCAAGGCGACGAUCCAUAGCCGGCCUGAGAGGGUGAACGGCCACAUUGGGACUGAGCCACGGCCCAGACUCCUACGGGAGGCAGCAGUGGGGAAUAGUGCACAAUGGGGGAAACCCUGAUGCAGCGACGCCGCGUGAAGGAAGAAGUAUCUCGGUAUGUAAACUUCUAUCAGCAGGGAAGAUAAUGACGGUACCUGACUAAGAAGCCCCGGCUAACUACGUG
This 478-nucleotide ribosomal RNA is filed under the name uncultured bacterium. Its description in RNAcentral is "partial 16S ribosomal RNA". It matches the Rfam family "Bacterial small subunit ribosomal RNA", at positions 28 to 507 of the family's 1533-position model. The record is from RNAcentral.